GGUUAAGCGACUAAGCGUACACGGUGGAUGCCCGGCAGUCAGAGGCGAUGAAGGACGUGCUAAUCUGCGAAAAGCGUCGGUAAGGUGAUAUGAACCGUUAUAACCGGCGAUGUCCGAAUGGGGAAACCCAGUGUGAUUCGUCACACUAUCGUUAACUGAAUACAUAGGUUAACGAGGCGAACCGGGGAACUGAAACAUCUAAGUACCCCGAGGAAAAGAAAUCAACCGAGAUUCCCCAGUAGCGGCGAGCGAACGGGGAGCAGCCCAGAGUCUGAAUCAGCUUGUGUGUUAGUGGAACGGUCUGGAAAGUCCGACGGUACAGGGUGAUAGUCCCGUACACCAAAAUGCACAGGUUGUGAACUCGAAGAGUAGGGCGGGACACGUGGUAUCCUGUCUGAAUAUGGGGACCAUCCUCCAAGGCUAAAUACUCCUGACUGACCGAUAGUGAACCAGUACCGUGAGGAAAGGCGAAAAGAACCCCGGCGAGGAGUGAAAAGAACCUGAAACCGUGUACGUACAAGCAGUGGGAGCACCUUCGGGUGUGACUGCGUACCUUUGUAUAAUGGGUCAGCGACUUAUAUUCUGUAGCAAGGUUAACCGUAUAGGGAGCCGCAGGAAACCGAGUCUUAACUGGGCGUUAAGUUGCAGGGUAUAGACCCGAAACCCGGUGAUCUAGCCAUGGGCAGGUUGAAGGUUGGGUAACACUAACUGGAGGACCGAACCGACUAAUGUUGAAAAAUUAGCGGAUGACUUGUGGCUGGGGUGAAAGGCCAAUCAAACCGGGAGAUAGCUGGUUCUCCCCGAAAGCUAUUUAGGUAGCGCCUCGUGAACUCAUCUUCGGGGUAGAGCACUGUUUCGGCUAGGGGUCAUCCCGACUUACCAACCCGAUGCAAACUACGAAUACCGAAGAAUGUUAUCACGGGAGACACACGGCGGGUGCUAACGUCCGUCGUGAAGAGGAAACAACCCAGACCGCCAGCUAAGGUCCCAAAGUCAUGGUUAAGUGGGAAACGAUGUGGGAAGGCACAGACAGCGGGAUGUUGGCUUAGAAGCAGCCAUCAUUUAAAGAAAGCGUAAUAGCUCACUGGUCGAGUCGGCCUGCGCGGAAGAUGUAACGGGCUAAACCAUGCACCGAAGCUGCGGCAGCGACACUAUGUGUUGUUGGGUAGGGAGCGUUCUGUAAGCCUGCGAAGGUGACCUGUGAGGGUUGCUGGAGGUAUCAGAAGUGCGAAUGCUGACAUAAGUAACGAUAAAGCGGGUGAAAAGCCCGCUCGCCGGAAGACCAAGGGUUCCUGUCCAACGUUAAUCGGGGCAGGGUGAGUCGACCCUAAGGCGAGGCCGAAAGGCGUAGUCGAUGGGAAACAGGUUAAUAUUCCUGUACUUGGUGUUACUGCGAAGGGGACGGAGAAGGCUAUGUUAGCCGGGCGACGGUUGUCCCGGUUUAAGCAUGUAGGCUGGUUGUGCAAAUCCGGAUAAUCAAGGCUGAGGUGUGAUGACGAGGCACUACGGUGCUGAAGUAACAAAUGCCCUGCUUCGGGAAAAGCCUCUAAGCAUCAGGUAACAUCAAAUCGUACCCCAAACCGACACAGGUGGUCAGGUAGAGAAUACCAAGGCGCUUGAGAGAACUCGGGUGAAGGAACUAGGCAAAAUGGUGCCGUAACUUCGGGAGAAGGCACGCUGGUGUGUAGGUGAAGUCCCUGCGGAUGGAGCUGAGACCAGUCGAAGAUACCAGCUGGCUGCAACUGUUUAUUAAAACACAGCACUGUGCAAACACGAAAGUGGACGUAUACGGUGUGACGCCUGCCCGGUGCCGGAAGGUUAAUUGAUGGGGUUAUCCGUAAGGAGAAGCUCUUGAUCCCCGGUAAACGGCGGCCGUAACUAUAACGGUCCUAAGGUAGCGAAAUUCCUUGUCGGGUAAGUUCCGACCUGCACGAAUGGCGUAAUGAUGGCGGGCUGUCUCCACCCGAGACUCAGUGAAAUUGAACUCGCUGUGAAGAUGCAGUGUACCCGCGGCAAGACGGAAAGACCCCGUGAACCUUUACUAUAGCUUGACACUGAACAUUGAGCCUUGAUGUGUAGGAUAGGUGGGAGGCUUUGAAGCGUGGACGCCAGUCUGCGUGGAGCCAACCUUGAAAUACCACCCUUUAAUGUUUGAUGUUCUAACGUUGGCCCCUUACCGGGGUUGCGGACAGUGUCUGGUGGGUAGUUUGACUGGGGCGGUCUCCUCCCAAAGCGUAACGGAGGAGCACGAAGGUUAGCUAAUCGGUCGGACAUCAGGAGGUUAGUGCAAUGGCAUAAGCUAGCUUGACUGCGAGCGUGACGGCGCGAGCAGGUGCGAAAGCAGGUCAUAGUGAUCCGGUGGUUCUGAAUGGAAGGGCCAUCGCUCAACGGAUAAAAGGUACUCCGGGGAUAACAGGCUGAUACCGCCCAAGAGUUCAUAUCGACGGCGGUGUUUGGCACCUCGAUGUCGGCUCAUCACAUCCGGGGCUGAAGUAGGUCCCAAGGGUAUGGCUGUUCGCCAUUUAAAGUGGUACGCGAGCUGGGUUUAGAACGUCGUGAGACAGUUCGGUCCCUAUCUGCCGUGGGCGCUGGAGAAUUGAGGGGCUGCUCCUAGUACGAGAGGACCGGAGUGGACGCAUCACUGGUGUUCGGGUUGUCAUGCCAAUGGCACUGCCCGGUAGCUAAAUGCGGAAGAGAUAAGUGCUGAAAGCAUCUAAGCACGAAACUUGCCCCGAGAUGAGUUCUCCUGAGACUAUAAGUCUCCUGAAGGAACGUUAAAGACGAUGACGUUGAUAGGCCGGGUGUGUAAGCGCAGCGAUGCGUUGAGCUAACCGGUACUAAUGAACCGUGAGGCUUAACCUU
This 2862-nucleotide ribosomal RNA is filed under the name Klebsiella pneumoniae subsp. pneumoniae. Its description in RNAcentral is "23S ribosomal RNA". It matches the Rfam family "Bacterial large subunit ribosomal RNA". Lineage: Bacteria; Pseudomonadati; Pseudomonadota; Gammaproteobacteria; Enterobacterales; Enterobacteriaceae. The record is from RNAcentral.